GCUAGACGAGUUUGAUCAUGGCUCAGAGCGAACGCUAGCGGCGAGCUUAACACAUGCAAGUCGAGCGGAGGGUUUCGGCCCUCAGCGGCGGACGGGUGAGUAACACGUAGGUUACGUGCCCUUUGGUGGGGAAUAACUUAGGGAAACCUGAGCUAAUACCGCAUAUGCCCUUCGGGGUGAAAGUCUUCGGACGCCAGAGGAUCGGCCUGCGGCCCAUUAUUUAAUCCUUGUUGGUGGGGUAACGGCCUACCAAGGGUACGAUGGGUAGCUGGUCUGAGAGGAUGAUCAGCCACACUGGGACUGAGACACGGCCCAGACUCCUACGGGAGGCAGCAGUGGGGAAUAUUGGACAAUGGGGGAAACCCUGAUCCAGCUACGCCGCGUGGGUGAUGAAGGCCUUCGGGUUGUAAAGCCUUGUCGAGGGGGACGAAGUUCUGACGGUACCCCUCAAGAAAGCACCGGCUAACUCCGUG
Molecule: ribosomal RNA, 473 nt
Filed under: uncultured bacterium
Lineage: Bacteria
Description: bacterial SSU rRNA
Rfam family: Bacterial small subunit ribosomal RNA
Source: RNAcentral